This is a long non-coding RNA of Bombyx mori (domestic silkworm), 1288 nucleotides long. RefSeq lists it as uncharacterized. NCBI's taxonomy places the organism in Eukaryota, Metazoa, Arthropoda, Insecta, Lepidoptera, Bombycidae. The transcript has 3 exons. The record is from RefSeq and is a predicted model, not a curated record.
UAAUUUGAUAAUUCAUAUGAGAACACAUACUGGAGGGAAAGCUUAUGUUUGUGAUGCGUGUGAAAAAAGCUUGUUGGGAUUGAGUAAUUUAAAAAUCCACAUAGCAACACACACGGCAGAGAAACCUUAUGUUUGUGAUAUGUGGAAACAAUCUUUUGCACAGAAGAGUUAUUUAAAAAAACAUAUACCUAAAACACACUGCUGAAAAACUUUGUUUGUGAAGUGUGUUAAAAAGACUGCACACUUUCAUUGUUAAAAAAUGCAGAUGAUAACACAUAAAGCAGAAAGAUAUUUCACAAUUUGGGAAUCACAAAUUUGUCAUUUAAGAACACACAUGAGAAUACAUACAGGAGACAAACCUGCUUGUGAAGUUUGUACAAAAGGUUUUACACAUCAGUCAUUUAAAAACACACAAAGAUACCUACUAGAGAAGAAGCCUUAUUAUUGUGAAUUGUGUGGAAAAGGUUUUUCAGUUGUAUCCUCAUGUGGAGUAGUCAUCCUCAGGUCAAGAUCUCCGGGCAUUGGUUUCCAAAGACAAAUAUCCAAAUUUGAAGAAAAUGUUUUGAACAACUGCUUUCGUUACUGCCAUCUACAGGAGCAAUGAGAAACUAAUCGAAUCGAAGCCAUCUAGUAGCCGGCGCCCGUAAACAUUUUUAGUAAUAAAGCCGAUUUUUUACGUCGAUUUAUAACAACAGAUGAAACGUGUUCAUUAUAUACGCUAGAAUCAAAAAUUCAAGCAAAACAGUCGACGCAAUUGGGAUGCCCGGCUCCAAAAAAAGCCAUGGCUGUAAAGUCGGCUGGAAAAGUGAUGGCCUCCGUCUUUUGGGAUGCAGAUGGGAUCUUGAUGAUAGAUUACCUUCCUAAAGAUCAAACAAUUAAUGGAGAAUACUACGCUAAUCUUCUAGAUAAUGUUCAUCAAUGUAUUCAGCAAAAACGAACAGGUUUGGCGAAAAAAAAACAUCUUCCACUAAGACAACGCUAGGGUUCACACAUGUGUUAAAGCUGUGGCACAAAUCAACGAAUUGAAGUAUGAUUUGCUGCCCCACACACCUUAUUCGCCUGACCUACCGCCAUCAGACUUCUACUUAUUCCCUAAGCUCAAAACUUUUUUGGGCGGACAGAAAUUUGCCAUAAAUGAUGAAGUCAUAGCGGCUGUAGAGGAGUAUUUUGCAGGCCACGAAAGAAAUCAUUUUAUGGAAGGCAUUAUUGCUUUAGAACGAAGAUGGAUUAAGUGCGUAGUGGUUCAUGGAGACUAUGUCGAAAAAUAAAAUUAAUUUUAUCAUGGAAA